UAGGGAAUCUUCCACAAUGGGCGCAAGCCUGAUGGAGCAACACCGCGUGAGUGAAGAAGGGUUUCGGCUCGUAAAGCUCUGUUGUUAGAGAAGAACGUGCGUGAGAGCAACUGUUCACGCAGUGACGGUAUCUAACCAGAAAGUCACGGCUAACUACGUGCCAGCAGCCGCGGUAAUACGUAGGUGGCAAGCGUUAUCCGGAUUUAUUGGGCGUAAAGCGAGCGCAGGCGGUUUGAUAAGUCUGAUGUGAAAGCCUUUGGCUUAACCAAAGAAGUGCAUCGGAAACUGUCAGACUUGAGUGCAGAAGAGGACAGUGGAACUCCAUGUGUAGCGGUGGAAUGCGUAGAUAUAUGGAAGAACACCAGUGGCGAAGGCGGCUGUCUGGUCUGCAACUGACGCU
Molecule: ribosomal RNA, 400 nt
Filed under: uncultured bacterium
Lineage: Bacteria
Description: bacterial SSU rRNA
Rfam family: Bacterial small subunit ribosomal RNA
Source: RNAcentral